CUGAUUCCAAAACGCAUCCCGUUCUGAGAUUCCGACCCCUCUCCCCACCUCAUCUCGGGCCAGGCCCCUUGGCUUCCCUCUGGGAUGCUGCGGCCCAGCCUGUGGUGGGCCUUCGCCCCUAACCCUGCGGCCUUUGUCUGAGCGGCAAGCAGAGGGAACUUUUAAAAGCAGCCAACCCCAGCUUCUCCUCCCUGCCACCUUCUCCGUCAUCCUCUCUCCCCUUUGUUGCAGCCCAGCUCCCCGAACCCUCGGGACUCACCACCACAGGCCCUUUCCCCGUGGCUCUUCCUGGGGCUGGGGUGCUGCUCCCCAACCCUUCCAACUUCUCUUUGGGACUCCCCAGUCCUCUGAGAGGCCUCACCCUCUCCAGCACACUCCACCCCGUCUUUCCUUUAUUGUCUUUGUAGCCUACUUCCGAAAACCACUGCUUUCCCUGUCCUGAGCCUUCCUUUCUUUGGAUCUUGGGCACCCUGAAAAUCCUUAGUCAGGGCCCCACGAUGGGUCCAGUGAGCACCAAAGAAGAGCUCAAUAAAUAUUUGCACAAUGAGAAGGCAUUGGAGAAUUCUUAGUCCAAGUAGCAAGAAAACAGUCCCAGGAAGCCUGGGGUCCCAGAGUGGCCCACACCCCCUGAUUUGCUGUGUGACCCAAGGUGGUAGAACCCCUUCUCUGGUCCUCCUCCAGAGAAAGGGAAAAUGAAUUGACCUCCAGGGUACCCUUCCCUGCCCUUGGUGCCUGGGAACUCCAUUAACCCCUUCUUCCCCAGCCCAGCUAUGGCUUCCAGGAGAGGAACUCCAGGUCUCUCUGUCCUCCUGUCGCCGGUCACCUGGCCCGAUCCCCUCGGCCAAAGCUGGGCCCCGAUUGCUUUAUUUGGAAAUAGAGCGAUGCUACCAGUGCUCGUCCCCUACCUUGGUUGCAAGAAAUGUUUGUUUGCAAUCCAUGAACGACAGCCACUGUGAAAGGUUAGGCGCUGGGGACUCAAGAGUUGGCAUGUGUGGGCUUGAAUCCUGCUCUGCCCAGAGUCGGGGAGCCUGGUUUUCCUACGUGUGACAUGGGGACAAGGUGGGUCACAACUUGCA
Non-coding RNA from Heterocephalus glaber (naked mole-rat), 1076 nucleotides. Lineage: Eukaryota; Metazoa; Chordata; Mammalia; Rodentia; Bathyergidae. The record is from RefSeq and is a predicted model, not a curated record.